This 254-nucleotide ribosomal RNA is filed under the name uncultured bacterium. Its description in RNAcentral is "partial 16S ribosomal RNA". It matches the Rfam family "Bacterial small subunit ribosomal RNA", at positions 524 to 777 of the family's 1533-position model. The record is from RNAcentral.
UACGUAGGUGGCAAGCGUUGUCCGGAUUUACUGGGCGUAAAGAGCGCGCAGGCGGUCGUUCAAGUCGCGUGUGAAAGCCCCCGGCUCAACUGGGGAGGGUCACGCGAUACUGAUCGACUGGAAGGCAGGAGAGGGUAGUGGAAUUCCCGGUGUAGUGGUGAAAUGCGUAGAUAUCGGGAGGAACACCAGUGGCGAAGGCGACUACCUGGCCUGUUCUUGACGCUGAGGCGCGAAAGCUAGGGGAGCAAACAGGG